This 465-nucleotide ribosomal RNA is filed under the name Vreelandella stevensii. Its description in RNAcentral is "partial 16S ribosomal RNA". It matches the Rfam family "Bacterial small subunit ribosomal RNA", at positions 338 to 795 of the family's 1533-position model. Lineage: Bacteria; Pseudomonadati; Pseudomonadota; Gammaproteobacteria; Oceanospirillales; Halomonadaceae. The record is from RNAcentral.
CCUACGGGUGGCUGCAGUGGGGAAUAUUGGACAAUGGGCGAAAGCCUGAUCCAGCCAUGCCGCGUGUGUGAAGAAGGCCUUCGGGUUGUAAAGCACUUUCAGUGGGGAAGAAAGCCUUGGGGCUAAUACCCUCGAGGAAGGACAUCACCCACAGAAGAAGCACCGGCUAACUCCGUGCCAGCAGCCGCGGUAAUACGGAGGGUGCGAGCGUUAAUCGGAAUUACUGGGCGUAAAGCGCGCGUAGGCGGUCUGAUAAGCCGGUUGUGAAAGCCCCGGGCUCAACCUGGGAACGGCAUCCGGAACUGUCAGGCUAGAGUGCAGGAGAGGAAGGUAGAAUUCCCGGUGUAGCGGUGAAAUGCGUAGAGAUCGGGAGGAAUACCAGUGGCGAAGGCGGCCUUCUGGACUGGCACUGACGCUGAGGUGCGAAAGCGUGGGUAGCAAACAGGAUUAGAUACCCUUGUAGUC